RNAcentral lists this transfer RNA (67 nucleotides) under Dardanus aspersus. Its description in RNAcentral is "tRNA-Ile". The record is from RNAcentral. Lineage: Eukaryota; Metazoa; Arthropoda; Malacostraca; Decapoda; Diogenidae.
GAUAUGGUUCCUUUGGAGAUUAACGCUGAUAAUGUUAAUUCUGUAAUUAUAAAAAUUACCCAUAUCU